UGGAAGCUUACCUGGAAGAGCUGGGCACCGCGCCGUGUCCAUUUCUUUCACUGGUUGGCUAGCCAGGACCGGUGUUGGACGGCGGAUAGACUCGCCCGUCGCGGCCUACAGCACCAUCCACGAUGCGUCCUUUGUGAUCAGGCCCCAGAGUCGAUGUGGCACCUGCUCCUAGAAUGCCCGUUUACGCGGCAGGUCUGGCACGACGUGCUGGCUUGGGCGAGGAUACCUUCUCAACCACCAAGCAACGAGCCCACCCUCACGGACUGGUGGCAACGAACGAAAGGGCAGACCCCACACGCGCUACGGAAAGGCCUGCAAUCCAUCGCCAUGCUCGUCCCUUGGAUGAUUUGGAAACAACGCAACGAGUGCGUCUUCGAGAACGCGCGCCCCUCGGUUACCGCACUCAUAGAUAGGAUUAAGGCUGAAGCCAAAUGUUGG
RNAcentral lists this ribosomal RNA (438 nucleotides) under Triticum aestivum (bread wheat). Its description in RNAcentral is "partial small subunit ribosomal RNA". Lineage: Eukaryota; Viridiplantae; Streptophyta; Magnoliopsida; Poales; Poaceae. The record is from RNAcentral.